GACGGAGGGUGCUAGCGUUGUUCGGAAUUACUGGGCGUAAAGGGCGCGUAGGCGGCCGCUUGCGUCGGAUGUGAAAGCCCGGGGCUCAACUCCGGAACUGCCUUUAAGACUGCAUCGCUUGAAUCCAGGAGAGGUGAGUGGAAUUCCGAGUGUAGAGGUGAAAUUCGUAGAUAUUGGGAAGAACACCGAUGGCGAAGGCAGCCAUCUGGACCGACACUGACGCUGAGGCGCGAAAGCGUGGGGAGCAAACAGG
RNAcentral lists this ribosomal RNA (253 nucleotides) under uncultured bacterium. Its description in RNAcentral is "partial 16S ribosomal RNA". It matches the Rfam family "Bacterial small subunit ribosomal RNA", at positions 524 to 776 of the family's 1533-position model. The record is from RNAcentral.